GCCGGGAUAGCUCAGUUGGUAGAGCAGAGGACUGAAAAUCCUCGUGUCACAG
This 52-nucleotide transfer RNA is filed under the name Philonotis caespitosa. RNAcentral's name for it is "partial tRNA-Phe". It matches the Rfam family "tRNA", at positions 1 to 50 of the family's 71-position model. From Rfam's summary of the family: Transfer RNA (tRNA) molecules are approximately 80 nucleotides in length. Their secondary structure includes four short double-helical elements and three loops (D, anti-codon, and T loops). Further hydrogen bonds mediate the characteristic L-shaped molecular structure. tRNAs have two regions of fundamental functional importance: the anti-codon, which is responsible for specific mRNA codon recognition, and the 3' end, to which the tRNAs corresponding amino acid is attached (by aminoacyl-tRNA synthetases). tRNAs cope with the degeneracy of the genetic code in two manners: having more than one tRNA (with a specific anti-codon) for a particular amino acid; and 'wobble' base-pairing, i.e. permitting non-standard base-pairing at the 3rd anti-codon position. RNAcentral also lists the same sequence under 1 other name. The record is from RNAcentral. Lineage: Eukaryota; Viridiplantae; Streptophyta; Bryopsida; Bartramiales; Bartramiaceae.